UGUGUCCGUCCCGCCUGUGUCCACCCCCUGUGCUCCUCCUGUGUUCAACCUGCCUGUGUCCACCCUGCCUGUGUCCAUCCCGCCUGUGUCCACCCCCUGUGCUCCUCCUGUGUCCAUCCCGCCUGUGUCCACCCCGUCUGUGUCCACCCUGCCUGUGUCCAUCCCGCCUGUGUCCAUCCCGCCUGUGUCCAUCCCGCCUGUGUCCACCCCCUGUGCUCCUCCUGUGUCCAUCCCGCCUGUGUCCACCCCGCCUGUGUCCACCUCCCUUACUCCACCAGUGUCUGGCCUCCAGAAGAAAAGAAAAUCAUGUAGGAAUGCAGACAUUAGUGAAUGCCCCAUUCAUCAAGGUCUAAGCGUUUUCCCCUACAAAAGGAUUCUGAGGCAAAGACUCAGAGAGGGUUGUGUCGAGGUGUUGGUGGAGUGGCAACCUUGCUCUGGAU
This is a long non-coding RNA of Melanotaenia boesemani (Boeseman's rainbowfish), 440 nucleotides long. RefSeq lists it as uncharacterized. Lineage: Eukaryota; Metazoa; Chordata; Actinopteri; Atheriniformes; Melanotaeniidae. The transcript is spliced from 3 exons. The record is from RefSeq and is a predicted model, not a curated record.